UACGAAGGGGGCUAGCGUUGUUCGGAAUUACUGGGCGUAAAGCGUGCGCAGGCGGCUUCUCAAGUCAGGGGUGAAAGCCCAGAGCUCAACUCUGGAAUUGCCUUUGAGACUGAGAGGCUUGAGUACGGGAGAGGUGAGUGGAAUUCCCAGUGUAGAGGUGAAAUUCGUAGAUAUUCGCAAGAACACCAGUGGCGAAGGCGGCUCACUGGCCCGGUACUGACGCUGAGGUGCGAAAGCGUGGGGAGCAAACAGG
RNAcentral lists this ribosomal RNA (253 nucleotides) under uncultured bacterium. RNAcentral's name for it is "partial 16S ribosomal RNA". It matches the Rfam family "Bacterial small subunit ribosomal RNA", at positions 524 to 776 of the family's 1533-position model. The record is from RNAcentral.